This 253-nucleotide ribosomal RNA is filed under the name uncultured bacterium. Its description in RNAcentral is "partial 16S ribosomal RNA". It matches the Rfam family "Bacterial small subunit ribosomal RNA", at positions 524 to 776 of the family's 1533-position model. The record is from RNAcentral.
UACGUAGGGUGCAAGCGUUGUCCGGAAUUAUUGGGCGUAAAGAGCUCGUAGGCGGUCUGUCGCGCCUGCUGUGAAAACUCAGGGCUUAACCCUGAGCUUGCAGUGGGUACGGGCAAACUAGAGUGCGGUAGGGGAGACUGGAAUUCCUGGUGUAGCGGUGAAAUGCGCAGAUAUCAGGAGGAACACCGGUGGCGAAGGCGGGUCUCUGGGCCGUAACUGACGCUGAGGAGCGAAAGCAUGGGGAGCGAACAGG